UAUGAACGCUGGCGGCGUGCCUAAUACAUGCAAGUCGAGCGAACAGACGAGGAUCUUGCUCCUCUGACGUUAGCGGCGGACGGGUGAGUAACACGUGGAUAACCUACCUAUAAGACUGGGAUAACUUCGGGAAACCGGAGCUAAUACCGGAUAAUAUAUUGAACCGCAUGGUUCAAUAGUGAAAGACGGUUUUGCUGUCACUUAUAGAUGGAUCCGCGCCGCAUUAGCUAGUUGGUAAGGUAACGGCUUACCAAGGCAACGAUGCGUAGCCGACCUGAGAGGGUGAUCGGCCACACUGGAACUGAGACACGGUCCAGACUCCUACGGGAGGCAGCAGUAGGGAAUCUUCCGCAAUGGGCGAAAGCCUGACGGAGCAACGCCGCGUGAGUGAUGAAGGUCUUCGGAUCGUAAAACUCUGUUAUUAGGGAAGAACAAAUGUGUAAGUAACUAUGCACGUCUUGACGGUACCUAAUCAGAAAGCCACGGCUAACUACGUG
RNAcentral lists this ribosomal RNA (497 nucleotides) under uncultured bacterium. RNAcentral describes it as "partial 16S ribosomal RNA". It matches the Rfam family "Bacterial small subunit ribosomal RNA", at positions 29 to 507 of the family's 1533-position model. The record is from RNAcentral.